This is a long non-coding RNA of Oryza sativa Japonica Group (Japanese rice), 708 nucleotides long. RefSeq lists it as uncharacterized. Lineage: Eukaryota; Viridiplantae; Streptophyta; Magnoliopsida; Poales; Poaceae. The record is from RefSeq and is a predicted model, not a curated record.
UGUGCUGUGUUUUUUUUUAGACCAAAUUGCUCCGUUCAUAUGGUCCUAUAAAUGCACGCAUAUACGUUACACAAAUCCAAAUCCAUAUCCACACAUCGCGGUGCAAAACCAAAACCCACUGCAGAGAAGAAGCAUCGAUCAAUUCAAGUUACCAAGCAACUUGGAUCUUCUCGAUUGUUUCCUUGCGAAGAUGAGUUCCUCUUAGACCCCCAAGACGGAGUGGCCCGAGCUAGUUUGCCGGACGAUCAAGGAGGCCAAGGAGAAGAUCAAAGCAGACCGUCCAGAUCUCAAGAUUGAGGUGGUUCCGGUAGGCACCAUCGUCACUCAAGAGUUCGACGAGAAUCGCGUUCGCAUCUGGGUCGACACAGUGGCAAAGACCCCCACAAUCGGUUAAGCUGAAACCCCGAUAUAGGCAUACAUCUAGCAAGUGUACGUCCAUGCAAGUAUUUCUGGAUAUGGUCCAGUAUGAUAAAUAAAUAAAUAAAUAAAUAAAUAAAUAAAUAAAGCUGUGUAUGAGCGUGUGUGUGCUCAUGCAUGUGUGUGUUCACGGUUAGCUUUUUUUUUUUUAAAUUCUUGCAUCAAUAAAAAGUACUACGGAGUACGUAUGUACUCUUUGAACAAUGCGUUAUACGACAAAUGAGAUGUGUGUCCUCAAUCGUUUUAUCUGAAAAGAUAUCAGCAUAAGUACAAAAUUGCUGCUGUUUACAA